UAGCUUUCAGUCUCAGGUUGUUUUGAUAGCCCUUUUUUUCUUUUAACGAAGAAACCCAUUUCAACUAAACUGUCUCCAAAAAAAAAAAAAAAAAAUGGUGUCAGAUACCCUGGAAGCGCUCUGCAUAUUUUACUUUGAUUUAAAGUCAACACCCAAAAUAAAAUAGGGUGGGUUUUAAAAUUGCAUUGGUCUGCCAGGCCGACUUCCCCAAGUAGGUAUCUAAAACAUGAUCCUUUAACUCAGAAUUCAGGAACUCUGCAUUUAUCUUCCUGCUAUGGUAGUACUUGCUAGAGAUGCUUCGAGCAUCUGAGUCAUUUCCAAAUUGGCAGAGAAAUAGGAUCACACACGUCAGGGUUGGGAGAGAAAAUAGGACUCCUCUGGUCUUGGUGUCUGCCCAGUGCAAAUCUUAUCUUUGGGACAUCACCCCUGUUUGCUGACUGGCCCAUUUCUGGGACAGGAAACCCAUGUAGUUCUGUCUUCCACAUUCCUUGGAGUCCUGUAUAGUUUAAGAUGAAAGAAGGAGGCUUCAGUGCAUACAACACAUAAGACCUAUCUAGUUUAAGUAUGUGUGUGGAGGGGGGAAGUUAUAUCC
RNAcentral lists this long non-coding RNA (592 nucleotides) under Bos taurus (domestic cattle). RNAcentral describes it as "long non-coding RNA NONBTAT025008". The record is from RNAcentral. Lineage: Eukaryota; Metazoa; Chordata; Mammalia; Artiodactyla; Bovidae.